This 64-nucleotide transfer RNA is filed under the name Sigmella ectobioides. RNAcentral's name for it is "tRNA-Pro". The record is from RNAcentral. Lineage: Eukaryota; Metazoa; Arthropoda; Insecta; Blattodea; Blattellidae.
CAGAGAAUAGUUUAAUUAAAAUAUUAAUUUUGGGGAUUAGUGAUGAAGUUUUCUUUUUCUCUGA